Molecule: long non-coding RNA, 6605 nt
Filed under: Nicotiana benthamiana
Lineage: Eukaryota; Viridiplantae; Streptophyta; Magnoliopsida; Solanales; Solanaceae
Description: long non-coding RNA (NBEN_LNC006354)
Source: RNAcentral
CCCAGACCCAAAUAAAAUUCGAUCCAAAUUCCCCAAUUAAACCAAAUGACCUCGUUUGGUAACCCUUAAUCCUAAUUCGUUAAUCAACUAAGAUCUAAUCGCUGGGAACUAAAAAUCAUAAAUAACAGUCCUAAAUCACCCUCAAUACACUCUCAUUUCACCCAUCUCCCUCAACAUCUCCUAACCUUAGCCACCCCUAAAAUUUUUCGCCGGAAAUCGCCCCACGACUGCGGCCACCAUCCAAACAACUCCAAAAUCACACCAUAUAAUCUGCAUGCCCUAUAAAACUUCACCCUACCAGUAGAUUUUCUAAAACCCCACCAAAUUUGGUGAAUCUUAGAUCUAGGAUUUCAGAAACCCUAGCCGCCGCCGUCGGAAGUCGCCUACGGCGGCGGUCAACUUCUAAUUACCUCAAAAUCAUACCCUGCAUUCCCCUCUUCACCCUCAACAUAGAUCCACCAUUAGCUUCCCCAAAAACCCCAUCUAAAUCCCUUAAUUUCAUAUUUGAAAACACCAAACCCUAUAUUUGCCCCCUUUUUAAAUUUUUCUUUUAAUCCACCCCUAACUAGUUUGUUUAAAAACCCUCCCGCCAAGAUCUCCCACCAGAGAUCUCAGAACCAGGUGGGUAUCUUGGCAAGAGAAUUUUUAACAACGGGAUCUUUUACCAAAAUAGCCAUUAGGUUUUUUUUUUCUUUUCUGUUGUUUUAUUUAUCUUUAUUAUCAUGUGUUUUAUCUUUAUUAAUUUUACGUUUAUUUUUAUUUUCAGUAUUACUAUUUUUAUUUGUUUACUGUUAUUAAGUAGAAAUUAUUGUUAUUAUGUUUUUAUUUGUUUACUAUUUUUACUUGGUAUUUGUUUAGGAGUUGGGGUUCACUGAUUAGCUCGUUUAACUAGGCUAAAAAUUUGGGUCUGUUUACGAUGGAUAUGCCCAUAGCUUUGGUAAAACCUUAAGAGCCCAAGUUAUUCAAGCCAAGAGUCACACGACUCAAACCCAAAACCAAUUUGGUUCUAAGGUAAUUUCAAGGGUGUUAAUUAAGGUCAAUUAUGGUAUUUUAGUUUGACAUUUUUUCAGAAAUUGCUAGAAACAGACAACUGUCUCAAUGCUGAGUAGGAAGGAUAGGAGUAAUAUCCCAAGAUAUUCAGAAAUUGGAGAGUUGUCCAUUUUCUGAGGUAAGAGGGGUACUAGAAAUCUGACAGCUGCCCAUUUCUAUUAAGGAAAACAUGCAUUUUUCCUGAAUUUAGGGAUGCUGGCAGAUUUCUUUCCAGGUACCCUAACCCUUAUCUAUUUCACUCCCUCACUCUAUAUAAAUACUCUUUGUAUUUGUUAUACAGAGGGAUCUAUAUAUACACCUACACACAUUCAUAUAUACCUAAAUAGAUCUUAACACACACUUAGAGAGUUAGACCUACACACACUGAAAAACACACAGAAAAAUUUCUUAAAAUAUACUGAUUUUUGCAUUAUUUUUGGAGUCUCUUUCCUUUAUUUUUAGCAAAGAAAUCCUACUGGUUUCAUACUUUUACAAGGAUUUCUGGGUUUAAAUCUAGAGCGAAUUUUGGGUUUCUUAUUUGGUAUUCUCGCUGUUGCUUUUUACUCAAGAAUUUAGAGACAUAUUUUCUUUAUCGAUUUGUUUUCUUAUUGCUAUCAAGGUACUUUAUUAACAAUGUAAAAGUUUAAUUUUAGUUAUUGUUAUGAAAGUGUUUUUCAUCAAAUUUAUAUUGGUUUGAAUAUGGUCUUACAUAUAAGUUAAACUGCUGUACAAAUCAUGAUUAGUUAAAGUUCUUUGGUUGGAAGUUAUAUAUAAAUUCAUGUAGGAGUUAGUUGUUUACACUGUUGAGAUUAUUUAAGUUAUAAUAGCUUUGUGUUAAAAAAUUUCUGGAAACUGCAAAAUCAGUUGAAAGCUUUUCAUAUGUAAAUAAGAUCUAUAUUACUAUGUAAUAUCAGAAAUAGAAAACAGUACAAUAACUCAGUAUAAUCCCAUUUAGUAGGAUAUGGGGAGUGUAGUAUGUGCGCAGACAUUACCCCUACCUUGGGGUAGAGAGGCUGUUUUCAAAUAGACUCCCGGCAUACUUCCCUCCAAGAAUUUCCCACCUUGCUCUUGGGGAGACUCGAACUCACAACCUCUCGGUUGGAAGUGGGGUUGCUUACUAUCAGAGCAACCCAUCUAUAAAUAGAAAACAAUAUUUAUAGAAAAAUUGUUAAAAGUAGUAACAGGUAGAUUUGUUAUUACUGUUUCAAUUGUAAUAAUUUAGCACUUUUUUAUAUUUUUUGUACAAUGCUUUAAUUUAAUAUUUUAGUAACUUUAUUGUGUUGUUUAAAGCAAUUAAAUACAGUACUUCCAAUUUGGUAGUUUUAAAUUUUCAUAUUAUUAAAAACUGAAUUUUUGAGCAGACUGAACAGUAGACUUUGGUAUAUUGGUCUAUGGAAUUGUAUUUUUAGAUUCGGUUAAGGGUCAAAUAUAUUAUUGUAUUAUUAAAUAUAGGCUAUAUUUAUUCUCCGUUUGAAUUUUUAUCAAAUAUAUCCCCACCGUUAUACUUUAGGGUCAUAUAUAUCAUUCAGUUGUUAAAAUUUGCUUCCAGAUUUUUUUUUACAAGUGGCAUGUUCUGAUUGGACCAGAUGCUCACGCCAUUCGAUUAAUUAAACCGCUCCGACCCAGAGUAUUAAACCUGCCCUGCCCCGCCCAGCGUGUUGAAUACUUAGCACCAGCAUUAAUAUUCGGUCACUUCCAAUUGUCCCUUUCAUCAGCGAGUUGGAGACAUUAGCACAGAUUCAUGAAGAGGGACUUAGACAGAUCCAUGCUAUCCAACAGCAUAAAGGAAAUCCAGCUGAUAGUCCUCUAGUAAGCCCCCAUAACCUUCCGCCCACUCAUGCACUGUUUCCUACUGCUCCUCCUCCAAUGGCUGUUGAACUGCCCCCUUCCCUGAUACCAAAAGGUGUUGGGUUCCACCCCCAGUCAUGCACUGUUUCCUACUGCUCCUCCGAUGGCUGUUGAACUGCCACCUUCCCUGAUGCCAAAUGGUGUUAGGAUCCACAGCAAUGGGCAUGUAAAUGGUUCCAUCAGGCCCUGGUUCAACCAUUCUUGAAUCUGGGUCAGACUCAUUUUGCACCGUUGACGAUGUGGUUUGUCCUCAUUCUCAAGCCUUGCUCAUCUAUUAGGAGCUGGUAGUAGUUGAAUGUGUACGGGGGUAAUCUUUUUUCCAUUUUCUAGAUCUCUUGGCAUUAUGGCUGGUAGGACUGCUGGAGAAAGGGAAAAGUCAUUAGAAUCCAAUAGCACCAACAGUUGCAGAUGUCACACUCAUUCUGAGUUUUUCUCCUCAAAUCAACUAAAAGAGUUAGAAAGUUUUGUUUACUGCCCCAUCUCAUUCUGCAGAAACUUUCCACAAUCUUUAAAUAUAACUUUCAAGUUACCUCUUCUCUAACAUAUCAAUUGGAAAUGACCGAAUAUAUCGCUGGUGCAAAGUAUUUAAUACGCUGUGUCGGGCGGGUUUAAUACGCUGGGUCGGUGCGGGUUUAAUUAAUCGAAUGGGGCGGGUCAUCUGGUCCAAUCAGAACAUGCCACGUGUUAAAAAAAUCAGGAAGCAAGUUUUAACGGCUGAGGGAUAUAUAUGACCCUAAUGUAUAACAGUGGGCAAAAGGAGGAUAAAUAUGACCUAUUUUUAACAGUACAAGGAUAUAUUUGACCUUUAACCGUUUUAGAUUUUCUACUAAAUAAAAUGAGUUGACGAUUUGAUUAAAGGUCAUCUACACUUUAAAGUUUAAAUACACAAUGAUUUUAAACUCAUCUCUUUAGCAUAGUGUUAACAUAAGGAGUAAAAAACUUAAGGUAGAAAAUUAUCGAAUUGUACCAGAUUUUAAUUCGCAUUCCAGCCCCUUUAGCAUUAUGUAUUUUAAAUGAAAUAUAAACGAAAUGUUUUAAUUACUAUUACAGCAAAUGAACCAAAAUGCCCCGUCUCAAAUUUGUUCAAAAGUAUGUAUUGGGCCGAAGUCAUUUGGACUUAGUUGUUAUUUGGCCCAAAUUAUCUUGGAUCUCAAUUAGUUGUUCAUAAAGUGCGAUUUGGGUGAGAGUUUAUUUGGACUCAAUAAUCAUAAGGCCCAAAUCAUCUUUGACUGAAUUCAGUUAGCUGCUCUAAAACAUGCAUUUGGGCUAGAGUUAUCUAGACUCAAUCAGGCCCAAAUUCCUUUAGAAAUCAAAUUCAUUAGUUGUUCAAGUAAUAAACAAUGCACGUCUUGGGCCAGAGUUCAUUUUUGGCUCAGCCUUUAUCAAGCCCAAAGCCUUUUAAUUGUAGAUUUAUUGGGCAGCUAGUAUGUGAGCUGCCUAAUUAAUUCAAAUAAAUAUUUCACGUAUUGAACUUUUACACCAAGCUAUAUGACAUUGGAUGCUUAGCUUAGAGAUACAAUCAUAACUCUAGGUAUACUUUAAUAUGAACUAAUUAAUACAAUUAUGUACAUGUAUGCGUGAUAUAAUUGUGAUGUCAAAAUAAAUCAAGGUAUACGUUUCCAUGAUCAUGGUCAAACAUCUUAGUAAAUAAUACGCCUUAAUCAAAGGCGCGAUUUUAAAUUACUAUCAUGAUUGAUAUUUUUUCAAAUAAAUUCAAAGUACGUAUUCGUGCGACUUUGACCAAAUAUUUUUUUAAAUAAACUAAGUGUUGGGAAUUGUGCAUACAUACGCGUGAUAUAAUUUUUGACACUGACACAGUAAAACUAAAACGAGUAUAUGUACGCGCAACUCAUCUUAAAUAUGAUUAUUAAGUGAUAAUCCAAGUAUAAAUUGCUAAACAACCGUGCUAAAACUACAAAUCUGGAAAUGCCUAGUACAUUCUCCUGAGUUAACAUUUGGCAGACUUUAAACAAGGUCAAAUUUUUCUCGAUUUGGGAUUUAAAUUCCUAAAAUUACACCUCAACACCACACAAUCUAGAUUGGAAAUUCAACGAGAAACAUAAUUAUUAAAUAAAUUUAACCACAAGUGACUUACCUCAAGAAACCCCUCGAAAAUACUCUCAAAAAUUGCCUAAGUCCAAGCUUUCAAUGUCCAAAAUAAAGAAAAUCAUGGAACCCUCGAAUUUAAGGUUCUGUCCAGCCUUUUCGCUUAUGCAGAAACUUAACAGCACCUGCAGUGUCGCAGAAGCGACAAUCCUUCCGCUUCUACGAUGAACCACUGGCACUGGGCCUUCGCACUCGCGGAUCAUGCUCCGCUCCUACGCAAACACAGGGGCAACCCUCUUUCUAGCUCCUCUGCCGGCCUCCAUUUUUGUGCUUAACCUCUCUGCAUCUGCGACCACGCAGGUGUGGAAAUUCCUUCGCACAUGCGGUCUACCCAAGGCCAGAAUAAUCUAGCUUCUGUGCUACUUCAACCGCAAUUAUGGCAUCGCACCUAAGGCCAAUUUCGUCGCAUGUGCAAUUACAUGAGAAAAAUCCAACUUCAGCAAUGCUCUACGUCUCAUUUUCAAUCCGUAAACCAUCCGAAUCAACCCAAGGCACCAGCCAACACACCAAGACGUAAAACAUGAUACGAACUUAGUCGAGCCUUCAUAUCACAUUAAAUAGAGCUAAAACCAUGAAUCGCGCCCCAAUUCAAGCCUAUGAAAACUAGGGAAAUUCCAACUUCAACAAAUGAUGCUGAAACCUAUCAAAUCACGUCAGAUUAACCUUAAAUUUUGCAUAAAAAUCACAAAUCACACCAUAGACCUGCUUCAACUUCUGAAAGCCCAAUUCCAUCUUGGUAACCACAAAGUCUACUCUUGGUCAAACUUCUAAAUUUCCCAUUUUAACCAUUUCAAGCCUAAUUCAAGUACGAAACUCCAAAUCAUAAUCCAGACAUGCUCCUAUGUCCAAAAUCAUCUAACGAGACCAUCGAAACUCCAAUUUGAAGCUAUUUACACACAAGUCAGCAUCCAGUCAUCAUUUCAACUUAAGCUUCCAACCUUGGAGCUAAGUGUCUUAAUUUAUUUCAAAACCUUUCCAAAACCGAACCAACUACCCUGACAAGAUACGUGAAUACAAUUAAGUAGGGAAUUAGUAGGAAAUAGGGGAAUGGGCUACAACUCUUAAAAUGACGGGCUGGUUCGUUACAUCUUCCCCCUCUUAAAUAAAUAUUUAUCCUUAAACUGGUCUAAAAAUAUACUUGGAGUUUCGAAUAGGCGUGGAUAUUUUCUUUGCAUAUACCGCUCGAUCUCCCAAGUAGCCUCCUCAACUGGUUGACCUCUCCACCACACCUUUACUAGAAUUAUAUCCUUUGACCUCAACUUUAAAGCCUGCCGACUCAAAAUGGCAACCGGCUUUAUGUCAUAUAUCAAAACCAUGCAACUAAACCGUGCUAAAAUCCAAAAUAUGAAACGGAACUAGAUGAGCACUCGACAUACUAGGUGACAAGUCAAACUUGUAAGCCACAUGUCUAAUCCUCUGAAGCACCUCAAAUGGUCCAAUUAUACUGAGGGCUCAACUUGCCCUUCUUCCCGAACCUCAUACCACCCUUCAUGGGUGAAACAUUGAGCAGAACCUUCUCCCCAACCAUUUAAGCAACAUCACGAACCUUUCGAUCAGCGUAACUCUUUUGUCUAGACUGUGUCGUGCGAAUUUAAUCCUGAAUCAGUUUGACCUUGUCCAAA